RNAcentral lists this transfer RNA (77 nucleotides) under Vibrio sp. Its description in RNAcentral is "tRNA-Val". It matches the Rfam family "tRNA". Rfam says of the family: Transfer RNA (tRNA) molecules are approximately 80 nucleotides in length. RNAcentral also lists the same sequence under 45 other names. The record is from RNAcentral. Lineage: Bacteria; Pseudomonadati; Pseudomonadota; Gammaproteobacteria; Vibrionales; Vibrionaceae.
GGGUCCGUAGCUCAGUUGGUUAGAGUACUACCUUGACAUGGUAGGGGUCACCAGUUCGAAUCUGGUCGGACCCACCA